AGCUCUUAAGCCCAGCAGCAACCCAGGACAGCCCACAGAAGCUUUCCUUUUGUGUGAAAAAUACUCUGCCUGCCUUUGAACACAGCUACUCUCGUAGAAAGAUUAAAUGGGGAAAAGAAGAGUAAGAAAAGGGAUGCAGCAACCCCAGGGGCCUGGAGCCACCAAGGUUGGCCAACAGAAGUAGGCUGUGCUGACAAAGAAGUGCUUGUGACAAAGUCUGCUGGAGGAUGUGCUCCACCAAGCAACCUGCACAAGGAGGAUCCUAUGAUACUCAAGUAUUAACUUAAAGCUGCCACCCCACCACCAGAUGGAAACGUAGCCUCCCAGGCCCUGGAGAACUCCAACCCAUGAAACAAGCUGGCAAGGCCCCAAAUACUGGCUAACCCUCAGGCCAAAAGGGCAACAUUAUGAGGACAUAACAUACUUCACAACAAAAUAACCUGCUUUGAGAAUUUUAGAAGUUUCAUUACAUUAUUUGAAGAAUACCUUCAUAUCAAUAGUUGGAGAUCUCUUGCCAUACUAGGAAAUCAUUACAAGUACUUCACAGACAGCUGCUAGUGUAAUAAUAAAUAAGAGUGCUCUUCAUAAGUUUCUAUGAGAAGCUACCCAGACUCCGGCUCUGCAGAAAUCAGUCUUAUCAAGGUCUAGGUGCCACAGAACUGGCUUCAGAAACAAAUAAAGCCAUCAAAGAAGUCUACUUUAUGUACCUGCAAGUUGCCUGAUGUUCAGUCACCAGGGGAACACAGGAAUUGCAAUACCAAACACAUCUAGUUCAAUAGCAUGUCUCCCAUAGUGAAGAUUGGCAGCUAAUACAAAUGAAAAUAUAAGCCUUCAUAAUGGUAUACCUCUACCAAAAGAAAGCCGAAAUUGACAAAUACAUUCUUCCACUUAUCAAUGGUGAGCAGGAAAUUACCAUAGUGAAUAGGGGGCAGUUUCUACAGAAGUUAAGUUUUUUUUGUUUUUUUAAAAUGAACUCUUGCUUUUAUAAUUGUGAAGAUAACCUUCUCAAGUCGAAAUAACAGUACUCUGAUGCCGUUUUCCUUCUGAAUCUGAUAAGGCCAUCAAUUAAGUCUCAUGUCCCGAUUUCAGCACACAGCCAAUCUCAGCACACAGCCCAAGCAAGCAGAUCGUGCACUGAGGAGUUCUGAAGUUUAAACCAUUUUGUGUCUUAGUUUUGAAUAAAGCUAUUACAUCUGUAA
This is a long non-coding RNA of Mauremys reevesii (Reeves's turtle), 1199 nucleotides long. RefSeq lists it as uncharacterized. NCBI's taxonomy places the organism in Eukaryota, Metazoa, Chordata, Testudines, Geoemydidae. The record is from RefSeq and is a predicted model, not a curated record. The transcript is spliced from 5 exons.